UGCAUAAAAAGAAAAAUUAAACGAUUGCAUAAAGAAAAUAGAAAUUUAACUAAACCUAGAACAAGGAUUGCAUGAAAGAGAAAUGAUAGAUUUGCUAAAAAGAAAAUUCAUUACAAAUAAAAGUGGAGAUUGGAAACCUAAUGUUUCUUCUCUUUUGCAAAUAACAUAAAAAAAAUAAAACAAAAAACCUCUUCCUCCCGUUAGAACAUAAAAUAUUUUUUUACUCUUUU
RNAcentral lists this long non-coding RNA (230 nucleotides) under Phoenix dactylifera (date palm). RNAcentral describes it as "long non-coding RNA (PDAC_LNC005513)". Lineage: Eukaryota; Viridiplantae; Streptophyta; Magnoliopsida; Arecales; Arecaceae. The record is from RNAcentral.